RNAcentral lists this ribosomal RNA (460 nucleotides) under uncultured bacterium. RNAcentral's name for it is "partial 16S ribosomal RNA". It matches the Rfam family "Bacterial small subunit ribosomal RNA", at positions 338 to 795 of the family's 1533-position model. The record is from RNAcentral.
CCUACGGGAGGCUGCAGUGAGGAAUAUUGGUCAAUGGGCGCGAGCCUGAACCAGCCAAGUAGCGUGAAGGAUGACUGCCCUACGGGUUGUAAACUUCUUUUAUAAAGGAAUAAAGUGAGGCACGUGUGCCUUUUUGUAUGUACUUUAUGAAUAAGGAUCGGCUAACUCCGUGCCAGCAGCCGCGGUAAUACGGAGGAUCCGAGCGUUAUCCGGAUUUAUUGGGUUUAAAGGGAGCGUAGACGGCAGCGCAAGUCUGGAGUGAAAUGCCGGGGCCCAACCCCGGAACUGCUUUGGAAACUGUGCAGCUGGAGUGCAGGAGAGGUAAGCGGAAUUCCUAGUGUAGCGGUGAAAUGCGUAGAUAUCACGAAGAACUCCGAUUGCGAAGGCAGCUUACUAAACUGCCACUGACAUUGAUGCUCGAAAGUGUGGGUAUCAAACAGGAUUAGAUACCCCUGUAGUC